This 927-nucleotide ribosomal RNA is filed under the name uncultured marine microorganism. RNAcentral describes it as "bacterial SSU rRNA". It matches the Rfam family "Bacterial small subunit ribosomal RNA", at positions 590 to 1520 of the family's 1533-position model. The record is from RNAcentral.
UGCUGUUAAAAAGUGGAGCUUAACUCCAUCAUGGCAGUGGAAACUGAAAGGCUUGAGUAUGGUAGGGGCGGAGGGAAUUCCCGGUGUAGCGGUGAAAUGCGUAGAUAUCGGGAAGAACACCAGUGGCGAAGGCGCUCUGCUGGGCCAUUACUGACGCUCAUGGACGAAAGCCAGGGGAGCGAAAGGGAUUAGAUACCCCUGUAGUCCUGGCCGUAAACGAUGAACACUAGGUGUCGGGGGAAUCGACCCCUUCGGUGUCGUAGCUAACGCGUUAAGUGUUCCGCCUGGGGAGUACGCACGCAAGUGUGAAACUCAAAGGAAUUGACGGGGGCCCGCACAAGCGGUGGAGUAUGUGGUUUAAUUCGAUGCAACGCGAAGAACCUUACCAGGGUUUGACAUCCUGCGAACCUCUUAGAAAUUUGAGGGUGCCUUCGGGAAUGCAGUGACAGGUGGUGCAUGGCUGUCGUCAGCUCGUGUCGUGAGAUGUUGGGUUAAGUCCCGCAACGAGCGCAACCCACGUUUUUAGUUGCCAGCAUUAAGUUGGGCACUCUAGAAAGACCGCCGGUGAUAACCCGGAGGAAGGUGUGGAUGACGUCAAGUCAUCAUGCCCCUUACACCCUGGGCUACACACGUACUACAAUGCUACGGACAAAGGGCAGCAAACUCGCGAGAGCUAGCAAAUCCCAUAAACCGUGGCUCAGUUCAGAUCGUAGGCUGCAACUCGCCUACGUGAAGUAGGAAUCGCUAGUAAUCGCAGGUCAGCAUACUGCGGUGAAUACGUUCCCGGGCCUUGUACACACCGCCCGUCACACCAUGGAAGUUGGCCAUGCCCGAAGUCGUUACUCCAACCCUUGUGGAGGAGGACGCCGAAGGUGGGGCUAAUGACUGGGGUGAAGUCGUAACAAGGUAGCCGUANUCCCGCGGCCA